AUCCCAGACAAACUUUUCAAUGUUUAUCUGAUUCAUGGGAGGCAGACAUUGAUUGUGGGAGUUCGCUGAUAGCACCUUUUGUCUUUAAAAAGGUCUGCUAAUAGUAUCUUGCCAUACAAAA
Corylus avellana is the source of this 121-nucleotide small nucleolar RNA. The record is from RefSeq and is a predicted model, not a curated record. Lineage: Eukaryota; Viridiplantae; Streptophyta; Magnoliopsida; Fagales; Betulaceae.